GGAUUAAGACUCUAUAGUAUCAUUUAAAGACAUCUUUUUAUGAUUAAAGGUUACGGUAUGAGAUGAGUAUGCGUUCUAUUAGUUUGUAGGUGAGGUAACGGCUCACCUAGACUGCGAUAGAUAGGGGCCCUGAGAGGGGGACCCCCCACACUGGUACUGAGACACGGACCAGACUCCUACGGGAGGCAGCAGUAAGGAAUAUUGGUCAAUGGACGAAAGUCUGAACCAGCCAUGCCGCGUGCAGGAUGAAUGCCCUAUGGGUUGUAAACUGCUUUUAUAUAGGAAGAAAAACUUUCUCGUGAGAAAGCUUGACGGUACUAUAAGAAUAAGGAUCGGCUAACUCCGUGCCAGCAGCCGCGGUAAUACGGAGGAUCCAAGCGUUAUCCGGAAUUAUUGGGUUUAAAGGGUCCGUAGGUGGAUAAUUUAGUCAGAGGUGAAAUCCUGCAGCUUAACUGUAGAAUUGCCUUUGAUACUGGUUAUCUUGAGUUAUUAUGAAGUGAUUAGAAUGUGUAGUGUAGCGGUGAAAUGCAUAGAUAUUACACAGAAUACCGAUUGCGAAGGCAGAUCACUAAUAAUCAACUGACACUGAGGGACGAAAGCGUGGGUAGCGAACAGGAUUAGAUACCCUGGUAGUCCACGCCGUAAACGAUGGUCACUAGCUGUUUGGACUUCGGUCUGAGUGGCUAAGCGAAAGUGAUAA
Molecule: ribosomal RNA, 700 nt
Filed under: uncultured Bacteroidota bacterium
Lineage: Bacteria; Pseudomonadati; Bacteroidota
Description: bacterial SSU rRNA
Rfam family: Bacterial small subunit ribosomal RNA
Source: RNAcentral